Molecule: long non-coding RNA, 571 nt
Organism: Strongylocentrotus purpuratus (purple sea urchin)
Lineage: Eukaryota; Metazoa; Echinodermata; Echinoidea; Camarodonta; Strongylocentrotidae
Exons: 3
Source: RefSeq, a predicted model, not a curated record
UGACGACUUUCAUUACUCCGGCCUUACAAAAUAGCCGGUGCUUUUGGAUUGGUUGCAGCAGGGACAGAGAGGGUCAGUUUAGAUGGCUUGACGGCACACCAGUGAUAUAUGAUGGUUGGGGACAAGGUGAACCAAACAAUAAUGGUGGAGUUCAAAAUUGUGCUUGCAUCAGGUCGGUCAGAGAGUUUAGAAAGCAUGGAAAAUGGGACGAUGACCUCUGUACAGCGGACAGAAACUUGAUUUGCCAGAAAGGAAUUUAUAAUUUCCGACUCGACACGAUCCCUCGAACUAUUCCCGGUUUCGCCCCGCGUUUUGCUCAUGUCUACUGCGCCGUCGAUGUCGAAAUCGAAGGAGAAACACUGUCUCCAGAUGACGUCAAGCUAUCCAUUGGUCAAACUCUAUCGUCAUCGAGACCGAUCUCUUACUUUUUGACGAGCCUUGAUGGUGAAUUCCGUAAUAAUAGUUUCCUCCUUUACAACGUGACCGAAGGUGACCAAAUCUUCUGCUACGCUGGUGAACUGCCUGACCGAAAUAGAUUCUUUUCACUGGCUACUAUUUCUGCGGUAUUUGA